GGCAGCACGGAGCUUGCUCUGGUGGCGAGUGGCGAACGGGUGAGUAAUAUAUCGGAACGUACCCUGGAGUGGGGGAUAACGUAGCGAAAGUUACGCUAAUACCGCAUACGAUCUACGGAUGAAAGUGGGGGAUCGCAAGACCUCAUGCUCGUGGAGCGGCCGAUAUCUGAUUAGCUAGUUGGUAGGGUAAAAGCCUACCAAGGCAUCGAUCAGUAGCUGGUCUGAGAGGACGACCAGCCACACUGGAACUGAGACACGGUCCAGACUCCUACGGGAGGCAGCAGUGGGGAAUUUUGGACAAUGGGCGAAAGCCUGAUCCAGCAAUGCCGCGUGAGUGAAGAAGGCCUUCGGGUUGUAAAGCUCUUUUGUCAGGGAAGAAACGGUGAGAGCUAAUAUCUCUUGCUAAUGACGGUACCUGAAGAAUAAGCACCGGCUAACUACGUGCCAGCAGCCGCGGUAAUACGUAGGGUGCAAGCGUUAAUCGGAAUUACUGGGCGUAAAGCGUGCGCAGGCGGUUUUGUAAGUCUGAUGUGAAAUCCCCGGGCUCAACCUGGGAAUUGCAUUGGAGACUGCAAGGCUAGAAUCUGGCAGAGGGGGGUAGAAUUCCACGUGUAGCAGUGAAAUGCGUAGAUAUGUGGAGGAACACCGAUGGCGAAGGCAGCCCCCUGGGUCAAGAUUGACGCUCAUGCACGAAAGCGUGGGGAGCAAACAGGAUUAGAUACCCUGGUAGUCCACGCCCUAAACGAUGUCUACUAGUUGUCGGGUCUUAAUUGACUUGGUAACGCAGCUAACGCGUGAAGUAGACCGCCUGGGGGAGUACGGUCGCAAGAUUAAAA
This 836-nucleotide ribosomal RNA is filed under the name Janthinobacterium lividum. Its description in RNAcentral is "bacterial SSU rRNA". It matches the Rfam family "Bacterial small subunit ribosomal RNA", at positions 68 to 899 of the family's 1533-position model. Lineage: Bacteria; Pseudomonadati; Pseudomonadota; Betaproteobacteria; Burkholderiales; Oxalobacteraceae. The record is from RNAcentral.